This is a long non-coding RNA of Engraulis encrasicolus (European anchovy), 1378 nucleotides long. RefSeq lists it as uncharacterized. The record is from RefSeq and is a predicted model, not a curated record. Lineage: Eukaryota; Metazoa; Chordata; Actinopteri; Clupeiformes; Engraulidae. The transcript has 5 exons.
CUCACCUUGAGCCUCCACACCCACGACAUAUAAUUUUAGCUGAAGUAAGCUAAAUUAAACAGCCAGAGACCAGCAUUACUGACAUAUGUGCAUCUGCAAUUGAAUGACAUUGACUGGUGUUGUUGAUAGUGAUUACAAGAUGAUAUUUUAGCAUUUAUGAUACUGUUUACAUGUCAGUUGCAUGCAUGGGCGCCAUGUUGAUGAUGCGUGUGUCGUCACACAAAACACAAGCUCGGGAACUCGUUCUUCUAUACUUCCGCCAGAGAUCAACCUCGAUAAUUAUCGAUCUGACAUUGCGUCACCAAAUGUUCACUCCCACUUUCCCGAGGUUUUAGGUCGGCUUUCUGGGGAUUCUCGAUUUUUUGAACGAGCCAUUAGACUACCCAGUGACGUGAUUGUGCCCAAUGAAACAGGAGGCCUCGAUUCGUGCAGAAGAUAAGGUUUGAAACCCAGACAGCACGAAGCAUCUUGCCGACGUCAAAAUCAGAUCAACAGACAGGGACAUCAGCCUUCUCUUGGGAAUAGGCCAGAUAUGCCAGAACAAGAAAUGGUAAGUCUAUCACUACAUAAGAUCCAUAACAAAAUACUCCUAGUUAAAUCUUAAAUGUGACCUGGUGGCAUUAUUGCGUGAAUGCUUAUGUUGAACACUUAAUAAAUAAGAUCCUCAAGUGUGUAGAGUUCGUUAUUUAUUUACAUUUUCCUCAGCAUAACUGUACAGCUGACACCACUGCCUUCUGUAUCAUAACAAAGCCUGUCACUUCCACGUUUCGUUCUUCUUAUGUGACCGAAGUCACUGGCUACUGCACCAGAGAGGGUCUCUGCACUCAUUGCUGGUCCUAUGAUGCCAUCUAUUGGCGAAAACGUGCAACAGCAUAAUUAAACUAAAAGACAACUUCUGACAGGACAACAAAAAGACAGGGAGUGAGAAUAAGGGAAUAACAAAAAGACAAAAAUGGGGGGUCCACUACACUUGCAUACCUGAUUGUGAUGCUGUCACUCAUUUUCUAGUCUAUAUCUUGGACUGAAAAAGGAUGCUUUGCCCCUGCGGUUGUGAAGAGGAUGCUGUGGAGGUGGCAGCAUGAACGUGUCACACAGACAUUGGCUAAACUACUCGGCUUCUACACUUGCCCUCAGAGUUCACAUAUGGUGAAGUGCACAGGUGUCCAGUCAGGUUCAGACUGAUGCUGGUAACAAGAGGAAAACAUGCUAAUUGGUCAGUCCAUGAGCCCACGUCUUCAGGUCAUGGGCCUGAGAAGAAUCUACCGUUACAGGGGUCAGAAGAGAUCCUCAAACUAUGCUGACAUUACUACCCCUGUACUUCAACCCCUCUGCUGCCACUGGGUCCUCAACGAGAAAAUAAACUGAUUUCCCCCCCCCC